This 233-nucleotide ribosomal RNA is filed under the name uncultured bacterium. RNAcentral describes it as "partial 16S ribosomal RNA". It matches the Rfam family "Bacterial small subunit ribosomal RNA", at positions 118 to 347 of the family's 1533-position model. The record is from RNAcentral.
UGAGCAAUCUGCCCUUCUCAUCGGAAUAAGCGUUGGAAACGACGUCUAAUGCCGAAUACGACCUCCUUUCGCAUGAUCGGAGGUGGAAAGCUCCGGCGGAGAAGGAUGAGCUCGCGGCCUAUCAGCUAGUUGGUGUGGGUAAUGGCCCACAAGGCGACGACGGGUAGCCGGCCUGAGGAGGGUGACCGGCCACACUGGGACUGAGACACGGCCAGACCUCCGUACGGGAGCAG